UGUGGACUCGUAGGUGUGUUGGUAAAUUUCUUUCACUGUAAUUAUGAUAAGUCCUUAGUGGGUACUCUUGUUGGUUAAUUCUUAACAACUCUGUUGAUACAUAUAUAUUGAGUUAUUGUAUAAUUAUUAUAUUUACUACAUCAUUCGUGUUGUGGCAUGUUUGUAUUUUCUAACACUUGUUCCACAGGUAUUUAAAGUGGCGGGUCGAGGAUCUUACUGGGUUAUAUUUAUAUAUAACUCACUCCUUACUUGCAUCUCUAUGCAGAUACCGGUGCGGAAGAUAGAGCUAGUGGCUGACGAGUUGUUCGAGUGGAUCCUAUUGCUGAGGUGAGCCACCGCAUUGUUCGUGGAGGCUUUCGUUUCAUACUUACCUAGCUCGUGUUAGUUAUUUCCUUUUUCUUUGGGGCUUGUAUACCCGUCAAUAAAACUCAUGUUACUCUGUUAGAUGCUCCAUGAUCUUAGUGUGGGAUUUGGGUUAGAGAUUUAGUAUUUGAGUACUCAUUAGAUUUUAUUAAUAAAUUAUAAUUUUAGUUGGAUAAUUAUUUCGCAUUUAGUAAUUUUUAAUGCA
RNAcentral lists this long non-coding RNA (568 nucleotides) under Nicotiana tabacum (common tobacco). Its description in RNAcentral is "long non-coding RNA (NTAB_LNC001456)". The record is from RNAcentral. Lineage: Eukaryota; Viridiplantae; Streptophyta; Magnoliopsida; Solanales; Solanaceae.